AAUAGAUACCCGGGUAGUCCACGCCGUAAACGAUGAGUGCUAAGUGUUAGAGGGUUUCCGCCCUUUAGUGCUGCAGCUAACGCAUUAAGCACUCCGCCUGGGGAGUACGGCCGCAAGGCUGAAACUCAAAGGAAUUGACGGGGGCCCGCACAAGCGGUGGAGCAUGUGGUUUAAUUCGAAGCAACGCGAAGAACCUUACCAGGUCUUGACAUCCUCUGCCAACCCUAGAGAUAGGGCGUUCCCCUUCGGGGGACAGAGUGACAGGUGGUGCAUGGUUGUCGUCAGCUCGUGUCGUGAGAUGUUGGGUUAAGUCCCGCAACGAGCGCAACCCUUAAUCUUAGUUGCCAGCAUUCAGUUGGGCACUCUAAGGUGACUGCCGGUGACAAACCGGAGGAAGGUGGGGAUGACGUCAAAUCAUCAUGCCCCUUAUGACCUGGGCUACACACGUGCUACAAUGGAUGGUACAAAGAGCUGCGAACCCGCGAGGGUAAAGCGAAUCUCAAGUAAACGCCUAUUCUCGUAGUUCGGAUUGUAGGCUGA
Molecule: ribosomal RNA, 540 nt
Filed under: uncultured bacterium
Lineage: Bacteria
Description: bacterial SSU rRNA
Rfam family: Bacterial small subunit ribosomal RNA
Source: RNAcentral